AUGUAGUGUAGGUAUAACACUCGAAUAACUCUGAGAGUGAAGCCCCCCUCAAGAUGAUAGUUCCUAUUUCUGCGGGAGGUAAGAGCCCGUAAAGUUGAUCAGGUAGAUAAGUAUUUGAGUGGAAGUGUAGCGAUACAUGGAGCGGACAAAUACUAAUCGAUCGAGGACUUAACCAAAA
RNAcentral lists this ribosomal RNA (178 nucleotides) under Listeria monocytogenes. Its description in RNAcentral is "partial 23S ribosomal RNA". The record is from RNAcentral. Lineage: Bacteria; Bacillati; Bacillota; Bacilli; Caryophanales; Listeriaceae.